This 514-nucleotide ribosomal RNA is filed under the name uncultured bacterium. Its description in RNAcentral is "partial 16S ribosomal RNA". It matches the Rfam family "Bacterial small subunit ribosomal RNA", at positions 29 to 523 of the family's 1533-position model. The record is from RNAcentral.
AACGAACGCUGGCGGCGUGCCUAACACAUGCAAGUCGAACGCGAAAGUCCUUCGGGAUGAGUAAAGUGGCGCACGGGUGAGUAACACGUAGGUGACCUGCCUUUUAGAGGGGAAUAACCAGAUGAAAAUUUGGCUAAUGCCGCAUACGAAGCAUAAAUAUUAUAGUAAUGCUUGAAAGGAUGCCUCUGUAUAUGCAUCCACCAAAAGAUGGGCCUGCGGAACAUUAGCUAGUUGGUGGGGUAAAGGCCUACCAAGGCAACGAUGUUUAUCGGGUCUGAGAGGAUGAUCGGACACACUGGAACUGAGCAACGGUCCAGACUCCUACGGGAGGCAGCAGUGGGGAAUAUUGCGCAAUGGGGGAAACCCUGACGCAGCAACGCCGCGUGAGUGAGGAAGGACUUCGGUCUGUAAAGCUCUGUUAAUGAGGAAAAAUGGUAGUUGGUCUAAUAGGCCGAUUAUUUGAUGGUACUCAUAGAGGAAGCACCGGCUAACUUCGUGCCAGCAGCCGCCGUAA